Molecule: ribosomal RNA, 1017 nt
Filed under: uncultured bacterium
Lineage: Bacteria
Description: bacterial SSU rRNA
Rfam family: Bacterial small subunit ribosomal RNA
Source: RNAcentral
UGAGGAAUAUUGGUCAAUGGACGAGAGUCUGAACCAGCCAAGUAGCGUGAAGGAUGACUGCCCUAUGGGUUGUAAACUUCUUUUAUACGGGAAUAAAGUGAGGCACGUGUGCCUUUUUGUAUGUACCGUAUGAAUAAGGAUCGGCUAACUCCGUGCCAGCAGCCGCGGUAAUACGGAGGAUCCGAGCGUUAUCCGGAUUUAUUGGGUUUAAAGGGAGCGUAGGCGGACGCUUAAGUCAGUUGUGAAAGUUUGCGGCUCAACCGUAAAAUUGCAAUUGAUACUGGGUGUCUUGAGUACAGUAGAGGCAGGCGGAAUUCGUGGUGUAGCGGUGAAAUGCUUAGAUAUCACGAAGAACUCCGAUUGCGAAGGCAGCUUGCUGGACUGUAACUGACGCUGAUGCUCGAAAGUGUGGGUAUCAAACAGGAUUAGAUACCCUGGUAGUCCACACAGUAAACGAUGAAUACUCGCUGUUUGCGAUAUACAGUAAGCGGCCAAGCGAAAACGUUAAGUAUUCCACCUGGGGAGUACGCCGGCAACGGUGAAACUCAAAGGAAUUGACGGGGGCCCGCACAAGCGGAGGAACAUGUGGUUUAAUUCGAUGAUACGCGAGGAACCUUACCCGGGCUUGAAUUGCAACUGAAUGAUGUGGAGACAUGUCAGCCGCAAGGCAGUUGUGAAGGUGCUGCAUGGUUGUCGUCAGCUCGUGCCGUGAGGUGUCGGCUUAAGUGCCAUAACGAGCGCAACCCUUAUCGAUAGUUACCAUCAGGUUAUGCUGGGGACUCUGUCGAGACUGCCGUCGUAAGAUGUGAGGAAGGUGGGGAUGACGUCAAAUCAGCACGGCCCUUACGUCCGGGGCUACACACGUGUUACAAUGGGGGGUACAGAAGGCAGCUACACGGCGACGUGAUGCUAAUCCCUAAAGCCUCUCUCAGUUCGGAUUGGAGUCUGCAACCCGACUCCAUGAAGCUGGAUUCGCUAGUAAUCGCGCAUCAGCCACGGCGCGGUGAAUACGUUCCC